AGGACUAACGCUGGCGGCGUGCCUAACACAUGUAAGUCGAACGAGGGGUAGCAAUACCCCUAGUGGCAGACGGGUGAGUAACACGUAGUCAACCUACCUCUUAAUGGGGGAUAACUAGCCGAAAGGUUAGCUAAUACCGCAUACGAUCGUCGAGUGGCAUCACACGACGAUGAAAGGAGCAAUCCGUUGAGAGAGGGGACUGCGUCCCAUUAGUUAGUUGGUGGGGUAAUGGCCUACCAAGACUCCGAUGGGUAGCUGGCUUGAGAGAGCGACCAGCCACACUGGAACUGAGACACGGUCCAGACUCCUACGGGAGGCAGCAGUGAGGAAUUUUCCGCAAUGGGGGAAACCCUGACGGAGCGACGCCGCGUGUGGGAAGAAGGCCUUCGGGUCGUAAACCACUGUCGAGGGGACGAUAUUGACGGUACCCCUGGACGGAAGCCCCGGCUAACUACGUGCCAGCAGCCGC
This 469-nucleotide ribosomal RNA is filed under the name uncultured bacterium. Its description in RNAcentral is "SSU rRNA". It matches the Rfam family "Bacterial small subunit ribosomal RNA", at positions 26 to 518 of the family's 1533-position model. The record is from RNAcentral.